RNAcentral lists this ribosomal RNA (402 nucleotides) under uncultured bacterium. Its description in RNAcentral is "bacterial SSU rRNA". It matches the Rfam family "Bacterial small subunit ribosomal RNA", at positions 355 to 774 of the family's 1533-position model. The record is from RNAcentral.
UGGGGAAUAUUGCACAAUGGGCGAAAGCCUGAUGCAGCAACGCCGCGUGAGUGAUGAAGGCCUUCGGGUUGUAAAGCUCUGUCUUCUGGGACGAUAAUGACGGUACCAGAGGAGGAAGCCACGGCUAACUACGUGCCAGCAGCCGCGGUAAUACGUAGGUGGCAAGCGUUGUCCGGAUUUACUGGGCGUAAAGGAUGCGUAGGCGGAUACAUAAGUCAGAUGUGAAAAUCCCGGGCUUAACUUGGGAACUGCAUUUGAAACUGGGGAUCUAGAGUGCGGGAGAGGAAAGUGGAAUUCCUAGUGUAGCGGUGAAAUGCGUAGAGAUUAGGGAGAACACCAGUGGCGAAGGCGACUUUCUGGACCGUAACUGACGCUGAGGCAUGAAAGCGUGGGGAGCAAACA